RNAcentral lists this ribosomal RNA (405 nucleotides) under uncultured bacterium. Its description in RNAcentral is "partial 16S ribosomal RNA". It matches the Rfam family "Bacterial small subunit ribosomal RNA", at positions 29 to 526 of the family's 1533-position model. The record is from RNAcentral.
AAUGAACGCUGGCGGCAGGCUUAACACAUGCAAGUCGAACGAGUGGCGGACGGGUGAGUAAUGCAUGGGCAUCUAGCUUAUGGAGGGGGAUAACUACGGGAAACUGUAGCAAAAACCGCGAACCAUAGGAUGAGCCCAAGUGGGAUUAGGUAGUUGGUGAGGGAAAGGCUCACAAAGCCGACCAUCUCUAGCUGGUAUGAGAGGCUGACCAGACACACUGGGACUGGGACACGGCCCAGACUCCUACGGGAGGCAGCAGUGGGGAAUAUUGCGCAAUGGAGGAAACCUGACGCAGCCAUGCCGAGUGAAUGAAGAUGGCCUUCGGGUUGUAAAGUUCUUUCGGUAGCGAGGCGUUAACUACAGAAGAAGCACCGGCUAACUCCGUGCCAGCCGCCGCGGUAAUAC